GAUGAACGCUGGCGGCGUGCCUAAUACAUGCAAGUCGAGCGAACAGACGAGGCGCUUGCUCCUCUGACGUUAGCGGCGGACGUGUGAGUAACACGUGGAUAACCUACCUAUAAGACUGGGAUAACUUCGGGAAACCGGAGCUAAUACCGGAUAAUAUAUUGAACCGCAUGGUUCAAUAGUGAAAGACGGUUUUGCUGUCACUUAUAGAUGGAUCCGCGCCGCAUUAGCUAGUUGGUAAGGUAACGGCUUACCAAGGCAACGAUGCGUAGCCGACCUGAGAGAGUGAUCGGCCACACUGGAACUGAGACACGGUCAAGACGCCUACGGGAGGCAGCAGUAGGGAAUCUUCCGCAAUAGGCGAAAGCCUGACGGAGCAACGCCGCGUGAGUGAUGAAGGUCUUCGGAUCGUAAAACUCUGUUAUUAGGGAAGAACAAAUGUGUAAGUAACUAUGCACGGCUUGACGGUACCUAAUCAGAAAGCCACGGCUAACUACGUG
RNAcentral lists this ribosomal RNA (497 nucleotides) under uncultured bacterium. RNAcentral describes it as "partial 16S ribosomal RNA". It matches the Rfam family "Bacterial small subunit ribosomal RNA", at positions 28 to 507 of the family's 1533-position model. The record is from RNAcentral.